AUUCAAGAUGCAGUAGUGUAUAGUGAUGGAUUUUCUUUGGAGAAUAGAGAGAAUGUCAAGAAAGAUGCUGCAAUAACUAAAAUCGGAGGUGCUACUCCAUCAGAUGAGAAAACAGUCGAGCUGGGACCAUAAGUUUAUGAGAGCAAAGCGGCCAUGAGAGCAGUAAUUAAUGACCGGAGAUAUGGUGCUCUAAAAUCCCUUUGUGAACGGAAGCAAGCUUUUAAUGAGGUAUCUCUCCAAGUCGGCAUUGGAAUGGGUUAAUUGCUGCUUCAAUGUUUCAGCAUACCGUAUUG
Molecule: long non-coding RNA, 293 nt
Organism: Capsicum annuum
Lineage: Eukaryota; Viridiplantae; Streptophyta; Magnoliopsida; Solanales; Solanaceae
Exons: 3
Source: RefSeq, a predicted model, not a curated record